Molecule: long non-coding RNA, 484 nt
Filed under: Malus domestica (apple)
Lineage: Eukaryota; Viridiplantae; Streptophyta; Magnoliopsida; Rosales; Rosaceae
Description: long non-coding RNA (MDOM_LNC000518)
Source: RNAcentral
GAGUGGGAGCAUCUGAGAAGCCUGCCCAUUUAUUAAGGGCAAUCUUGUCCUUCUGAAAUAAAGUCCACGUCUCGCCUCUAGAAUAUUUGGGAUUAUUUUAGGCUCCACAAAUGCCCCUACAAAAAUCCGAAGUUGCUUAGGCUUGUAGAAUUGCUUCCCAAUUUGAACUUGAUCUUCUUUCUUGGUUUGGAAGAUAGACUUCUUCUAGGAAAAGGAAAAUAAUUGCCCCCAAUACCUAUUUAAUUCUGCCUUAAGCAGGGGAUUAAAUAAAUUUGGAGAACAAUAAUUAUUCCAACAAGGAAGAGAAACCAGAGGAAAUUUUUAUUCCCCAUCCCCUAGCAUUCUUCUUCUCUUGCCAUUGCAAAGAGUCGUCUCUUGUUAUAGUUAUUCUUCUCCGUGCCACACCAAGGUAAGAAACAUUUGAAUUUUCUUCUUCUUGAAUUUUUUUGGGAGUCUUGAGACUUGAAAAAUUGGCUUGGCGGGG